Myxocyprinus asiaticus (Chinese sucker) is the source of this 280-nucleotide long non-coding RNA. RefSeq lists it as uncharacterized. NCBI's taxonomy places the organism in Eukaryota, Metazoa, Chordata, Actinopteri, Cypriniformes, Catostomidae. The record is from RefSeq and is a predicted model, not a curated record. The transcript is spliced from 3 exons.
UGAAGUUCUGGACAUCAACAUAAUCAGAGAAAUGAGAACUGAAAGUCAAAGGGGACAUUUGACUUCAAAACAAUGACAUAAACAAUGUCAUAAAAGUGGCUCUGGAGUGCAUCAUUACUAGUUUGACCAUCUUCAUACAGAUAAAACACAACACUCUUAUUCAUGAAUCAGCACAUCCAUCCUCAACCUGAUCUUUCAUGUGGUGUCAAGGCCCUUCAGUGCAGAGAUUCGACAUCAAACUGAUGACAUGAAGAUGGCUGAAGUUAAGUGAAGUUUUGUA